This 1104-nucleotide long non-coding RNA is filed under the name Canis lupus familiaris (dog). RNAcentral's name for it is "lncRNA (ENSCAFG00030005321.1)". The record is from RNAcentral. Lineage: Eukaryota; Metazoa; Chordata; Mammalia; Carnivora; Canidae.
AUGCACACGGCUAGCUGGUCAGCAAACUGUCCAAACCAGAAUCGGGGACCACGGGGACCAGUCGAAGCCCUCCCGACCGUGUCCUCGUCUCCUCCUGCGGGAGCGGGUCCCCUGGCCCAACGGCCUCGCGCUGCCCACGGGCACUCGGUACCCCGGUGUCCCGCCCCCCCCCCCCCAGGGAACCCGCUCCACGUCCCCCUGGGACGCCUGCAAGACCGAGGGCCCCGCCCACCUCGGCUCCCGCCCAAGGGCAGGAAGAGCCCGAGGACUGGCUGCAGCCCACCGGCCAGGCCAACGCCAGGGAGCGGACACCCGGAGGAGGAGGAGGUCGGCGGGGCCUUCCUGGAGGGGGGCUUGGAAGGAGAGGGGAGGAGGGGGGAGGGAGGAGGGGGGGAGAGGACAGGGAGGGGGAGGAGGGACGGGAAGGGGAGGAGGGAGGGGAGGGGAGGGAGGAGGGGGAGGACGAGGGGAGGGGGAGCAGGACGGGAGGGGGGACAGGGGGAGGGGAGGGGGAAGAAGGAAGGACUGAGGGAGGACAAGGAGAGGCGGAGCAGGACGGGGGCGGGCGGAGGGGAGGACAGGGGGAGGGCCCCCUCCCUCGCGGUCCCCCCUCACGGGCCCCAUGGCGGCCCCCCCACGUCCCCCCUCGCGGCCCCCGCCCAGCCCCCCCACCCCCUCGCGACCCCCCCACCCCCCCCCGCGGCCCCCCACGUUCCCCCCUCGCGGCCAGCCUCCCCCCCAUCCCUGCCCCCCCACCCCCUCGGCCCCUCGCGGCCCCCGCCCGGCCAGGCCGGCCCACCCCCGCCGGGCCUCGGAAGGGGCGCCGCGGCCCGCUCCCUCCCUCCCUCCGCCUCGCCUCCCCGGCGCCUCCCCGGCUCCUCCCCGGCUCCUCCCCGGCUCCUCCCGGGCUCCUCACCGGCAGCGCCGGGACCGCGAGCGCGAGCAGGCAGGCACGAGGCACGUGCGCGCGAGGCCGGGACCCGCCGGGAAGCCCCGCCGGGAGACCCCACCCCGCUCCGGCCGCCGCGCCGCUCAGCCCGCGCGAACGCCGCCGCCGCCGCCGCCGCCGGAGCCUCCUGCGUCACGUGGCCCGGCGCCGGGUGA